AGUGAACGCUGGCGGUAGGCCUAACACAUGCAAGUCGAACGGCAGCACAGGAGAGCUUGCUCUCUGGGUGGCGAGUGGCGGACGGGUGAGGAAUACAUCGGAAUCUACUCUGUCGUGGGGGAUAACGUAGGGAAACUUACGCUAAUACCGCAUACGACCUACGGGUGAAAGCAGGGGACCUUCGGGCCUUGCGCGAUUGAAUGAGCCGAUGUCGGAUUAGCUAGUUGGCGGGGUAACGGCCCACCAAGGCGACGAUCCGUAGCGGGUCUGAGAGGAUGAUCAGCCACCCGGGAACUGGGACACGGUCCAGACUCCUACGGGAGGCAGCAGUGGGGAAUAUUGGACAAUGGGCGCAAGCCUGAUCCAGCCAGACCGCGUGGGUGAAGAAGGCCUUCGGGUUGUAAAGCCCUUUUGUUGGGAAAGAAAUCCAGCUGGCUAAUACCCGGUUGGGAUGACGGUACCCAAAGAAUAAGCACCGGCUAACUUCGUGCCAGCAGCCGCCGUAA
RNAcentral lists this ribosomal RNA (506 nucleotides) under uncultured bacterium. RNAcentral describes it as "partial 16S ribosomal RNA". It matches the Rfam family "Bacterial small subunit ribosomal RNA", at positions 29 to 523 of the family's 1533-position model. The record is from RNAcentral.